Molecule: non-coding RNA, 219 nt
Organism: Parasteatoda tepidariorum (common house spider)
Lineage: Eukaryota; Metazoa; Arthropoda; Arachnida; Araneae; Theridiidae
Source: RefSeq, a predicted model, not a curated record
UAUUUUGAUAAUUUAUUUUACUAUUAAUUUCUUUUUAGUUCGAUGAUCCCAAUGGUACCAUUGCUAGUAUAUUGGAGCAAGUUAAACAAAUGGGAGUUCAUGUUGACUUUCCUCCGAGUAAAUUGAAACAAGGAUGGGGUGAACAUGUCAUUCUUGUGCUCUCUCAUUUGGCUGAUGAGGCACUUAAAAGAAAUAAUUUCACAUGGAAAAGGUGAUUUA